RNAcentral lists this ribosomal RNA (1436 nucleotides) under uncultured organism. RNAcentral's name for it is "SSU rRNA". It matches the Rfam family "Bacterial small subunit ribosomal RNA". The record is from RNAcentral.
AACGAACGCUGGCGGCGUGGAUAAGACAUGCAAGCCGAACGAGAGAAUUGCUAGCUUGCUAAUAAUUCUCUAGUGGCGCACGGGUGAGUAACACGUGAGUAACCUGCCCCCGAGAGCGGGAUAGCCCUGGGAAACUGGGAUUAAUACCGCAUAGUAUCGAAAGAUUAAAGCAGCAAUGCGCUUGGGGAUGGGCUCGCGGCCUAUUAGUUAGUUGGUGAGGUAACGGCUCACCAAGGCGAUGACGGGUAGCCGGUCUGAGAGGAUGUCCGGCCACACUGGAACUGAGACACGGUCCAGACACCUACGGGUGGCAGCAGUCGAGAAUCAUUCACAAUGGGGGAAACCCUGAUGGUGCGACGCCGCGUGGGGGAAUGAAGGUCUUCGGAUUGUAAACCCCUGUCAUGUGGGAGCAAAUUAAAAAGAUAGUACCACAAGAGGAAGAGACGGCUAACUCUGUGCCAGCAGCCGCGGUAAUACAGAGGUCUCAAGCGUUGUUCGGAAUCACUGGGCGUAAAGCGUGCGUAGGCUGUUUCGUAAGUCGUGUGUGAAAGGCGCGGGCUCAACCCGCGGACGGCACAUGAUACUGCGAGACUAGAGUAAUGGAGGGGGAACCGGAAUUCUCGGUGUAGCAGUGAAAUGCGUAGAUAUCGAGAGGAACACUCGUGGCGAAGGCGGGUUCCUGGACAUUAACUGACGCUGAGGCACGAAGGCCAGGGGAGCGAAAGGGAUUAGAUACCCCUGUAGUCCUGGCAGUAAACGGUGCACGCUUGGUGUGCGGGGAAUCGACCCCCUGCGUGCCGGAGCUAACGCGUUAAGCGUGCCGCCUGGGGAGUACGGUCGCAAGAUUAAAACUCAAAGAAAUUGACGGGGACCCGCACAAGCGGUGGAGUAUGUGGCUUAAUUCGAUGCAACGCGAAGAACCUUACCUGGGCUUGACAUGUAAUGAACAACAUGUGAAAGCAUGCGACUCUUCGGAGGCGUUACACAGGUGCUGCAUGGCCGUCGUCAGCUCGUGUCGUGAGAUGUUUGGUUAAGUCCAGCAACGAGCGCAACCCCUGUUGCCAGUUACCAGCACGUGAAGGUGGGGACUCUGGCGAGACUGCCCAGAUCAACUGGGAGGAAGGUGGGGACGACGUCAGGUCAGUAUGGCCCUUAUGCCCAGGGCUGCACACGUACUACAAUGCCCAGUACAGAGGGGGCCGAAGCCGCGAGGCGGAGGAAAUCCUGAAAACUGGGCCCAGUUCGGACUGUAGGCUGCAACCCGCCUACACGAAGCCGGAAUCGCUAGUAAUGGCGCAUCAGCUACGGCGCCGUGAAUACGUUCCCGGGUCUUGUACACACCGCCCGUCACAUCAUGGAAGCCGGUCGCACCCGAAGUAUCUGAAGCCAACCGCAAGGAGGCAGGGUCCUAAGGUGAGACUGGUAACUGGGAUGAA